Molecule: long non-coding RNA, 341 nt
Organism: Bos taurus (domestic cattle)
Lineage: Eukaryota; Metazoa; Chordata; Mammalia; Artiodactyla; Bovidae
Source: Ensembl
CAACAACCCCAUGAGCCUUGGGGUAGCUACUUCUAUUACCCACAUUUUCAGCAGAGGUUCAGUGAAGUAAAGAGUUUCCUGCUUAUUCCACCAUUAAAAUUCCAGUAAAAAGCUGAAAAAUUGGGCAUUCUAGUCAUUAUCCUGAUCAAGAAAGGUUGUAAAUGGGGAAUGGAGGCCAGGAAAAUACUGUUGAAAGUUUUCAGUUUUGCACGACUUUGAAACAUGGGCACAAUUUGUACCAUAGACUCAAUAACUAGCAUAGCUAUUGUUUUUCUUCAAUUAUCUGACUUACAUAUUUUUCAUGUUUUGACAUGUUGAAAUCUGGGUAUUUUCUGAAAGGC